RNAcentral lists this long non-coding RNA (809 nucleotides) under Marmota monax (woodchuck). Lineage: Eukaryota; Metazoa; Chordata; Mammalia; Rodentia; Sciuridae. The record is from RNAcentral.
CAAGAAUGGUGGAAGGUUGAACACAAUUGAGAGUUAUCACAGAGGAGGGAGAGGCAGGACUUAGUGACAGACGGGAGGGAGUUUCCUUCUCCCUGGCAUGAUGUCAGAGGUCUCUUACAGUCUAGCCCAGCCCACUCCCCCAACUCCUCCCUGGCAUGCUUGGUUAUCCUUUCCUCCUUCCCCUUUCAUAUGUGCUUUAGAACUUUGUGAUCAGCUGCAGUCCCUGAUGAACCUUGCUUUCUUACUUCCUCUUUCCCUGUGCUCUCUCCCUCCCUUCCUCUCUUUCUUUCUUUUUCCUCUUUCUGAUUGGAGUCUCACUAGGUUGCCCAGGCUAACCUUAAAUAACUCCUGGGUUCCAUGGAUCCUCCUGCUUCCAUCUUCCGAGUAGUUGGGACUACAAGUAUACCCCACUACACCCAGCUUCCUAGGUUUCAGACUCCACAGGAGAAUGAGUGAUCUUAUCUGUUUUGCCCACAUUUGAAUCCUCUGAAUUUAGCACAUUGCUGACACAUUCUAGGUUUAUUCACUAUCUGCUGAAUAAAUAUGUGGAUCAAUGAAUAAAGCCUACAUUCUAGCAAGCCAACCCCUCGCUCAGCCAGAAGAACCCCUGCAUCUUGAUGUGUCCUCACCAUUGUACACACUUUUCCUCCUCCUUAGGAUCCAUCUUACAUAACUAGAGAGGUGCUAUUUGUUCUUUCAGAAACUCAGCUCAAAAAUCACCUGCUCUGGGUGUCCUUUCUUUCCUUCUCAGAGAAGAACUGGCUCUUUGCUCUUCUCCUGUCUUCAUCAAUGCAGGGAUUUCAUAUGCU